GAAUCUUGCGCAAUGGGCGAAAGCCUGACGCAGCCAUGCCGCGUGAAUGAUGAAGGUCUUAGGAUUGUAAAAUUCUUUCACCGGGGACGAUAAUGACGGUACCCGGAGAAGAAGCCCCGGCUAACUUCGUGCCAGCAGCCGCGGUAAUACGAAGGGGGCUAGCGUUGCUCGGAAUUACUGGGCGUAAAGGGAGCGUAGGCGGACAUUUAAGUCAGGGGUGAAAUCCCGGGGCUCAACCUCGGAAUUGCCUUUGAUACUGGGUGUCUUGAGUAUGAGAGAGGUGUGUGGAACUCCGAGUGUAGAGGUGAAAUUCGUAGAUAUUCGGAAGAACACCAGUGGCGAAGGCGACACACUGGCUCAUUACUGACGCUGAGGCUCGAAAGCGUGGGGAGCAAACAGG
RNAcentral lists this ribosomal RNA (400 nucleotides) under uncultured bacterium. Its description in RNAcentral is "bacterial SSU rRNA". It matches the Rfam family "Bacterial small subunit ribosomal RNA", at positions 359 to 776 of the family's 1533-position model. The record is from RNAcentral.